RNAcentral lists this ribosomal RNA (893 nucleotides) under uncultured bacterium. Its description in RNAcentral is "bacterial SSU rRNA". It matches the Rfam family "Bacterial small subunit ribosomal RNA", at positions 29 to 920 of the family's 1533-position model. The record is from RNAcentral.
AUGAACGCUGGCGGCGUGCCUAAUACAUGCAAGUCGAACGAAUCUCUUUUAGAGAUGAGUGGCGAACGGGUGAGUAAUACAUAGGUAACCUGCCCCUGUGCGGGGGAUAACAGGAGGAAACUCCUGCUAAUACCGCAUAGCCAUGAGCACCGCAUGGAGCUCAUGCCAAAUAUCCUUUAUGGGAUAGCGCAGGGAUGGACCUAUGGCGCAUUAGCUGGUUGGCGGGGCAACGGCCCACCAAGGCAACGAUGCGUAGCCGGCCUGAGAGGGCGGACGGCCACAUUGGGACUGAGACACGGCCCAGACUCCUACGGGAGGCAGCAGUAGGGAAUUUUCGGCAAUGGGGGAAACCCUGACCGAGCAACGCCGCGUGAGCGAAGAAGGCCUUCGGGUCGUAAAGCUCUGUUGUAAAGGAAGAACGGCGCAUACAGGAAAUGGUAUGCGAGUGACGGUACUUUACCAGAAAGCCACGGCUAACUACGUGCCAGCAGCCGCGGUAAUACGUAGGUGGCGAGCGUUAUCCGGAAUCAUUGGGCGUAAAGAGGGAGCAGGCGGCCGCAAGGGUCUGUGGUGAAAGACCGAAGCUAAACUUCGGUAAGCCAUGGAAACCGGGCGGCUAGAGUGCGGAAGAGGAUCGUGGAAUUCCAUGUGUAGCGGUGAAAUGCGUAGAUAUAUGGAGGAACACCAGUGGCGAAGGCGACGGUCUGGGCCGCAACUGACGCUCAUUCCCGAAAGCGUGGGGAGCAAAUAGGAUUAGAUACCCUAGUAGUCCACGCCGUAAACGAUGGUCACUAAGUGUCGGGGGUCAAACCCCGGUGCUGCAGUCAACGCAAUAAGUGACCCGCCUGAGUAGUACGUUCGCAAGAAUGAAACUCAAAGGAAUUGACGGAAGG